Molecule: non-coding RNA, 1314 nt
Organism: Prunus mume (Japanese apricot)
Lineage: Eukaryota; Viridiplantae; Streptophyta; Magnoliopsida; Rosales; Rosaceae
Source: RefSeq, a predicted model, not a curated record
AGCUUGCAUUCGCAGUCCAAUCUUCAAAAUUCAAAUACUCGUUGGCAACGUCAGAUGAACAUCCAAGGCAGUUUCUUAGUAUGCCAGAAGAAGCCCAGCAGAUGGUUCUUUAACCUGAGGCACACCUUGCAGUUUGGCAUUGGAUUACACCAUGUCGGUCUGAAUGACAAAGAUAGAUCUAUGGUUGAGGAGCUUUUUGCAAACAACAAGAUUCAGGCAUUUCUGUUUUACCUCAGUAUUGGUUUGUACCAGUACAUUGGCAUGGGGUGUAAACCUUCCAGGUCAUCAUCUGUUCAUUAUUAAGGAGUAUAUUGCAGCAGCUGUUCUUCAGGACAAAUUUAUGGUUUAUGGUUUGAUGGGGAUUCUUCCCUUAUGGAUGAUGCCAUGCAUGAAUGUUGAACUUGCUAACUCGCUAAGCAGAAGAGGAAUAUUCAGCGUACAGCUACUAUUCCCCAAGGCAACUUUGCAGACCAUGAUUGGAAAUUUUCCUGCUUCAAAAAUGUAUCUGGUACAGACUUCUAAGAUAGUGGAAACAUGGCUGACUAACCCACAGGUCAAGAUUUAACAUGACUGGACAACUUUUUGACUGGGCUGGAAUAUUUUGUUCUUCUAGGAUCUGCAGCCUUUUCCAUGCGUCGAAGUGAAAUUAAAACUUCAGCGAAAAGUCUCGCUCUUUAGACAUCACACUGGUGAACACUAAUUUCAGGCAAAACAAAUCAGGAGCGUUUACCCCGCUUUUCCCUAAGGUGAAAAACGAAGCAUGGUGGUUGGUCCUUGCGAACACCUCAACAUGGGAAUUAUAUGCCCUCAUAAGAGUAUCUUUCUCUGAUCACUUGGUUACUCACAUGGAGUUACCAUCAGUUCCUAAGACUCUCCAGAUUGUCAUCUACGGUUCGAGCAAGAGCACUCUAUUUCACAACUUAUUGAACUGCAGUAACCAAAGGAAGAUAUCUUAUCAGUCGGAUACAUUGGACCUUAGGUGUAUAUAUUCGAAUAUAUUUACCAAGUAUAACUGCCCGGCUAUACUUUUAAAUAUAUAUCUCCUUCUUGAUGUAUUUGAGUGAGAUUGAGUAGUAGUUGUGAGUCGAGUCCCUUUCCUUCUCAUACUCUAACCCUAGAAGAAAGGGGUUAAAAAGAGUAAAUACCAAGAAGACUUUUUUUAGGACAUGGACAUUUAGAUUCAAAUCGCAUUCAAGCAAUUUUAUACCUAGAAAUUCAACAUUCUUUGAUCCACAAAAUGUUGGUGGAUCCCUUUUGUUGUUGUAUUUAUGGGUUAAACUCCUAUUAUUUCUUAUAAAUAAAAUCCAUUUUUUA